CAGCCGCCGCGGGAAUACGGAGGGUGCAAGCGUUAUCCGGAUUUAUUGGGUUUAAAGGGUCCGUAGGCGGAUCUGUAAGUCAGUGGUGAAAUCUCACAGCUUAACUGUGAAACUGCCAUUGAUACUGCAGGUCUUGAGUAAAUUUGAAGUGGCUGGAAUAAGUAGUGUAGCGGUGAAAUGCAUAGAUAUUACUUAGAACACCAAUUGCGAAGGCAGGUCACUAAGAUUUAACUGACGCUGAUGGACGAAAGCGUGGGGAGCGAACAGGAUUAGAUACCCGAGUAGUCCCUGUCUUUUAUAC
This 301-nucleotide ribosomal RNA is filed under the name uncultured bacterium. RNAcentral's name for it is "partial 16S ribosomal RNA". It matches the Rfam family "Bacterial small subunit ribosomal RNA", at positions 509 to 809 of the family's 1533-position model. The record is from RNAcentral.